Molecule: long non-coding RNA, 369 nt
Filed under: Oryza sativa aus subgroup
Lineage: Eukaryota; Viridiplantae; Streptophyta; Magnoliopsida; Poales; Poaceae
Description: lncRNA OsNaBo_01g0001090
Source: RNAcentral
UGGCGCCGCCUCGUCCGUUGCGGCCACGGCGGACUCCGAGAGCUCCCCGGCCGCGAACCUGCCGGCGAGGUCGUGGAGGUAGGCCGCCUUGCGGGCAGAGACGCCGAUGGCGCGGAGGUCGGCGGCGGAGAGGGCGAGCACCGCGGCGGGGUUGACCACCGCGGCAUUGGGAUCGGCGGCGGCGGGGAGGCGCGUGAGGAAGCGAGCGUAGAUGGCGGCGGCGGCGGAGGGAGCGAGCGUAGAUCGGCUGUUGCUGGCCAUGGCGACGUCACGGAGGCGGACGCUGCUCAAGGUCAUCGUCCUAGGCGACAGCGGGUUGGGGAAGAUGUCCCUGAUGAACCAGUAUCCUUUACCUCCAUAGCUGCCUAG